This is a non-coding RNA of Vicugna pacos (alpaca), 1149 nucleotides long. The record is from RefSeq and is a predicted model, not a curated record. Lineage: Eukaryota; Metazoa; Chordata; Mammalia; Artiodactyla; Camelidae.
CUGUGUGUGUGUGUGUAUCUUUGUGCAUGUGGAUGACUUCCUAUCUUUAUUGUAUGUUUGUCUUUACCAGUGAGCUUUUCCAUUUUGUACUUUUCUUGUUUGUAGUUGUGGCCUUUUCUUUUCUGCCUAAAGAAGUUCCUUUAGCAUGUGUUGUAAAGCUGGUUUGGCGCUUUUGAAUUCUUUCCACUUUUGCUUAUCUGCAAAGCGUUCGAUUUCUUCAUCAAAUCCGAAUGAGAGCCUUGCUAGAUAGAGUAUUUUUGGUUGUAGGCUUUUUUCCCUUUCAUCACUUGAAAAAUAUCAUGCCACUCCCUUCUGGCCUGCAGAGCUUCUGCUGAAAAAUUGGCUGAAAGCCUUAUGGGAGUUCCCUUGUUUGUUAUUUGUUGCAUUUCCCUUGCUGUUUUUUAGUAUUUUGCUUCACCUUUUGUCAGCUUGAUUACUAUGUGUCUUGGUGUGUUCCUCUUUGGGACUGUAUGGGACUCUCCGAGCUUCCUGGACUUAGUAAGUGUUUCCUUUCCCAGGUUAGUGAAGUUUUCAGCUAUUUUCCCUUCAAAAAGUUUCUCAGGCCCUCUUCCUCCCUCUUCGCCUUCUGGAACCACUACAAUGUGACUGUUCAUGAUCUUGCUGUUGUCCUAGAUGUCUCUUAAACUGUCCUCAUUUCUUUUCAUUCUUUUUUCUUUUUUCUCUUCUACUGUAGUGAUUUUCACUACUCGGUCUCCCAGCUCACUGAUCUUCUGCUUCAUUUAGUCUACUAUUGGUUCCCUCUAUCAUAUUUUUCAUUUCUGUUAUCAUAUUCUUCAACUCUGUUUGGCUGUUCUUUAUAUGUUCUAACUUUUAAAAACAAACCAAACAAAACAACAACAACAACAAAAACUUCUAACUUCUUGCUCUGUGCAUCCAUUCUUCUCCUGAUCUCUUGGAUCAUCUUUAUGAUCACUACCCAGAACUCUUUCUUGGGUAGAUUGCCUAUCUCCACUUCACUUCGUUGUUCUUCUGGGGUUUUGUCUUGCUCCUUCAUCUGGAACAUAUUUCUCUGCCACCUCAUUUUGUCUAAAUAUUGCAUUUGUAUUUUAACAUAUGUGGCAGGUUAGUUACAUUUCUUGAACUUGUAGAAGUGGUCCUCUGUAGGGGAUGUCCUGUGUGUCCCAGUGG